Molecule: unclassified non-coding RNA, 413 nt
Filed under: Hevea brasiliensis (rubber tree)
Lineage: Eukaryota; Viridiplantae; Streptophyta; Magnoliopsida; Malpighiales; Euphorbiaceae
Source: RNAcentral
UUUUGCUUUGGAGGUUCAAUCACAGCUUGAGGGAGCUCUUGGUCAUACUCGUAGUGAGACUCUAGCUGAGGCGAGGUCGGGUAGUAGUUAUUUAGAUGAGGCUGCUCGGAGUGGUGGCUGCAAAAGAUUUAAAGGCUCUGUUGUGAAUGGUCUGAUUGUAUAUACUAGGGGAAGAAAGUCUCAGAUCAAUGUGUACAGCGGAUUUUCGGAGAACGAUAAUAGGACGAAGUGUAAUAGCGCGGUGGAGCUGGAAAUUCUUGGAAGCUUGGCAGCAGGGGAAAGUUGUAGAACUGAUGAGGUUCAAAUUCAAACAAAAAGUUCUGCCUGUAAGAAAGAGUCCGAUGCAGUGGUAGAAAAUUCAGCAAAUAAGGAAGAAGGGGCCGAGGGGAGUCCCGUAGUUAUUGCGAACGCCG